CACGUAGGGACCAAGCGUUGUCCGGAUUCAUUGGGCGUAAAGAGCUCGUAGGCGGUUCAGUAAGUCGGGUGUGAAACCUCCAGGCUCAACCUGGAGACGCCACCCGAUACUGCUGUGACUAGAGUCCAGUAGGGGAGCGUGGAAUUCCUGGUGUAGCGGUGAAAUGCGCAGAUAUCAGGAGGAACACCAGCGGCGAAGGCGGCGCUCUGGGCUGGAACUGACGCUGAGGAGCGAAAGCGUGGGGAGCGAUCCGG
RNAcentral lists this ribosomal RNA (254 nucleotides) under uncultured bacterium. Its description in RNAcentral is "partial 16S ribosomal RNA". It matches the Rfam family "Bacterial small subunit ribosomal RNA", at positions 524 to 776 of the family's 1533-position model. The record is from RNAcentral.